GAUGAACGCUGGCGGCGUGCCUAUUACAUGCAAGUCGAGCGAACAGACGAGGAGCUUGCUCCUCUGACGUUCGCGGCGGACGGGGGAGUAACACGUGGAUAACCUACCUAUAAGACUGGGAUAACUUCGGGAAACCGGAGCUAAUACCGGAUAACAUGUUGAACCGCAUGGUUCAACAGUGAAAGACGGUCUUGCUGUCACUUAUAGUUGGAUCCGCGCCGCAUUAGAUAGUUGGUAAGGUAACGGCUUACCAAGGCAACGAUGCGUAGCCGACCUGAGAGGGUGAUCGGCCACACUGGAACUGAGACACGGUCCAGACUCCUACGGGAGGCAGCAGUAGGGAAUCUUCCGCAAUGGGCGAAAGCCUGACGGAGCAACGCCGCGUGAGUGAAGAAGGUCUUCGGAUCGUAAAACUCUGUUAUUAGGGAAGAACAAAUGUGUAAGUAACUAUGCACGUCCUGACGGUACCUAAUCAGAAAGCCACGGCUAACUACGUG
Molecule: ribosomal RNA, 497 nt
Filed under: uncultured bacterium
Lineage: Bacteria
Description: partial 16S ribosomal RNA
Rfam family: Bacterial small subunit ribosomal RNA
Source: RNAcentral